GGCGGUGUAGCUCAGUUGGUUAGAGCAGUCGGCUCAUACCCGGCGCGUCGGCCGUUCGAGUCGGCCCACCGCUACCA
This 77-nucleotide transfer RNA is filed under the name Candidatus Omnitrophota bacterium. RNAcentral's name for it is "tRNA-Met". It matches the Rfam family "tRNA". Rfam says of the family: Transfer RNA (tRNA) molecules are approximately 80 nucleotides in length. Their secondary structure includes four short double-helical elements and three loops (D, anti-codon, and T loops). Lineage: Bacteria; Pseudomonadati; Candidatus Omnitrophota. The record is from RNAcentral. RNAcentral also lists the same sequence under 1 other name.